RNAcentral lists this long non-coding RNA (469 nucleotides) under Triticum aestivum (bread wheat). Its description in RNAcentral is "long non-coding RNA (TAES_LNC024122)". Lineage: Eukaryota; Viridiplantae; Streptophyta; Magnoliopsida; Poales; Poaceae. The record is from RNAcentral.
ACGGAGGGAGUACUAAUUUAGUUUUUGGACUCUAUGUUGCUCUUUCUAUAGCACAAGACGAUCUUCACCGUGUGAAAGAUACUAUAGAUGAUGAAAAACGCAUGGGAUGAAGCAGUUGCCACACCGGCGCGGCGGUACGUCCCGCUGAACCAAAGAUGCAUACACAUACAUUGUACUACACCACAUCAUCAAAUCACAAAGGGAGCAUUAAUUGAUCCACUACAUGGAGCGCGCGAUGUGGAUGCAGAACAGCUAUCGACGGAAAAGGAAGGUUCUAGCCGAUGAUCUGGUCUAGGACGCCGGUGUUCUUGAGGCCGAGCACGAUGCCGACGCCCAAGAUGUGGCCGAAGGAGCCGCAUGCGAGCGUGUCGGCGAGCGUGAAGCCGGCCGGGUCGCCCGUCUGCAGCCCGGACUCGCGCGCCUCCAGCUUGAGCCCCGCCGUCGCCUUCCUGUUCGCCGACGGCGCCAG